This 440-nucleotide ribosomal RNA is filed under the name uncultured bacterium. Its description in RNAcentral is "partial 16S ribosomal RNA". It matches the Rfam family "Bacterial small subunit ribosomal RNA", at positions 338 to 795 of the family's 1533-position model. The record is from RNAcentral.
CCUACGGGUGGCAGCAGUAGGGAAUAUUGCUCAAUGGGGGAAACCCUGAAGCAGCAACGCCGCGUGGAGGAUGAAGGUUUUCGGAUUGUAAACCCCUUUUGUUAGAGAAGAUAAUGACGGUAUCUAACGAAUAAGCACCGGCUAACUCCGUGCCAGCAGCCGCGGUAAUACGGAGGGUGCAAGCGUUAUUCGGAUUCACUGGGUGUAAAGGGAGGGUAGGCGGGAGAGCAAGUCUGAUGUGAAAUCCUAGGGCUUAACCAUAGAACUGCAUUUGAAACUGUUAUUCUAGAGUAUAGGAGAGGUAGGUGGAAUUCUUGGUGUAGCGGUAAAAUCCGUAGAGAUCAAGAGGAAUACUCAUUGCGAAGGCGACCUGCUAGAACAUAACUGACGCUGAUGCGCGAAAGCGUGGGGAGCAAACAGGAUUAGAUACCCGAGUAGUC